UGGGGAAUAUUGGACAAUGGGCGCAAGCCUGAUCCAGCCAUGCCGCGUGAGUGAUGAAGGCCCUAGGGUUGUAAAGCUCUUUCACCGGUGAAGAUAAUGACGGUAACCGGAGAAGAAGCCCCGGCUAACUUCGUGCCAGCAGCCGCGGUAAUACGAAGGGGGCUAGCGUUGUUCGGAUUUACUGGGCGUAAAGCGCACGUAGGCGGACUUUUAAGUCAGGGGUGAAAUCCCGGGGCUCAACCCCGGAACUGCCUUUGAUACUGGAAGUCUUGAGUAUGGUAGAGGUGGGUGGAAUUACGAGUGUAGAGGUGAAAUUCGUAGAUAUUCGGAGGAACACCAGUGGCGAAGGCGGCUCACUGGACCAUUACUGACGCUGAGGUGCGAAAGCGUGGGGAGCAAACAGG
Molecule: ribosomal RNA, 404 nt
Filed under: Actinomycetes bacterium
Lineage: Bacteria; Bacillati; Actinomycetota; Actinomycetes
Description: Actinobacteria bacterium partial 16S ribosomal RNA
Rfam family: Bacterial small subunit ribosomal RNA
Source: RNAcentral